UACAGCCAUAUCAUGUUGAAAUAUCAGUUCUCAUCCAAUCACCAAAGUUAAGCAAUAUUGAGCCUGUUCAGUACUUAGAUGGGUGACCUCUUGGGAAUAUCAGGUGCUGUAAG
Non-coding RNA from Acanthosepion pharaonis, 113 nucleotides. Lineage: Eukaryota; Metazoa; Mollusca; Cephalopoda; Sepiida; Sepiidae. The record is from the annotation of a GenBank genome assembly.